GACGAACGCUGGCGGCGUGCUUAACACAUGCAAGUCGAACGGAAAGGCCCUGCUUUUGUGGGGUGCUCGAGUGGCGAACGGGUGAGUAACACGUGAGUAACCUGCCCUUGACUUUGGGAUAACUUCAGGAAACUGGGGCUAAUACCGGAUAGGAGCUCCUGCUGCAUGGUGGGGGUUGGAAAGUUUCGGCGGUUGGGGAUGGACUCGCGGCUUAUCAGCUUGUUGGUGGGGUAGUGGCUUAUCAAGGCUUUGACGGGUAGCCGGCCUGAGAGGGUGGCCGGCCACAUUGGGACUGAGAUACGGCCCAGACUCCUACGGGAGGCAGCAGUGGGGAAUAUUGCACAAUGGGCGGAAGCCUGAUGCAGCAACGCCGCGUGCGGGAUGACGGCCUUCGGGUUGUAAACCGCUUUCGCCUGUGACGAAGCGUGAGUGACGGUAAUGGGUAAAGAAGCACCGGCUAACUACGUG
RNAcentral lists this ribosomal RNA (468 nucleotides) under uncultured bacterium. RNAcentral describes it as "partial 16S ribosomal RNA". It matches the Rfam family "Bacterial small subunit ribosomal RNA", at positions 28 to 507 of the family's 1533-position model. The record is from RNAcentral.